CUGAUUAAAAUGAGUGCCAGCAAUCGCGGUCACACUUAAAGAUUAAGUAGUUAAUCGGAUAUAUAGUUAUAAAAAAAGAUAAGAAUAAAAAAUAAUAAAAUUUAGGUUAAAUUAAAAUUAUUAAAAAAAUUCUAAAAAUUUUAGAAGCUAAAAAAAGAAAUAAUAAAAAAGGAUUUGAUACCCUUGUAUUAUCCAUAAAAAUUUUUCCAGAGUAAAAAUAAAAUUUUAUUAACUCAAAAAAUAUGGCAGUAUAAUAAAAUUUUAGGGGUGCUUGAUUUUUUAAAUUAUGACAAUUCACAAAAACCUUACUUUUUUUUUAAAAAAUUUCUAUAUCUCCGUUUUUAAAAAAUAAUAAAAAUUAUUUAUUAAAAUCUUUUUAAAAGAGAAAUUCAGGUCAAGACAGAGUUUAAAAAGAAAAAUUGAGCAUCAUUGUAAAAAAAGGAGUAAUUUAUAAAAAUAAACUUUAUAAAAAAGAGAACUUAAAAGUAAUUUUUUAAUAAAAUAAAAAAAUGAAUUAUUUUUAUUAUAGGUACAAAUUGCCCGUCACUUCCGAUUAAAAUUGGAAUAAGUCGAAACAUAGUAAGUGUACUAGAAAGUGCACCUA
RNAcentral lists this ribosomal RNA (604 nucleotides) under Megalurothrips usitatus (bean blossom thrips). RNAcentral's name for it is "12S ribosomal RNA". The record is from RNAcentral. Lineage: Eukaryota; Metazoa; Arthropoda; Insecta; Thysanoptera; Thripidae.